UGGGGAAUAUUGGACAAUGGAGGAUACUCUGAUCCAGCAAUUCUGUGUGUGUGAAGAAGGUUUUAGGACUGUAAAACACUUUUAGUAGGGAAGAAAAAAAUGACGGUACCUACAGAAGAAGCAACGGCUAAAUACGUGCCAGCAGCCGCGGUAAUACGUAUGUUGCGAGCGUUAUCCGGAAUUAUUGGGCGUAAAGGGCUUGUAGGCGGUUGGCCGCGUCUGCCGUGAAAUCCUCUGGCUUAACUGGGGGCGUGCGGUGGGUACGGGUUGACUUGAGUGCGGUAGGGGAGACUGGAAUUCCUGGUGUAGCGGUGGAAUGCGCAGAUAUCAGGAGGAACACCGGUGGCGAAGGCGGGUCUCUGGGCCGUUACUGACGCUGAGGAGCGAAAGCGUGGGGAGCGAACAGG
Molecule: ribosomal RNA, 407 nt
Filed under: Verrucomicrobiota bacterium
Lineage: Bacteria; Pseudomonadati; Verrucomicrobiota
Description: Verrucomicrobia bacterium partial 16S ribosomal RNA
Rfam family: Bacterial small subunit ribosomal RNA
Source: RNAcentral